Molecule: small nuclear RNA, 135 nt
Filed under: Dasypus novemcinctus (nine-banded armadillo)
Lineage: Eukaryota; Metazoa; Chordata; Mammalia; Cingulata; Dasypodidae
Description: U4 spliceosomal RNA (ENSDNOG00000032927.1)
Rfam family: U4 spliceosomal RNA
About the family: U4 small nuclear RNA (U4 snRNA) is a component of the major U2-dependent spliceosome.
Source: RNAcentral
AGCUUUGCGCAGUGGCAGCAUUGUAGCCAAUGAGGUUUAUCCAAGGGGCAAUUAUUGCUAAUUGAAAACUUUUCCCAAUACCCCACCAUGACAACUUGAAAUAUAACUGGCAAUUUUUAACAGUCUCUAUGCAGA